AUUGAACGCUGGCGGCAGGCUUAACACAUGCAAGUCGAGCGGAGACUUCGGUCUUAGCGGCGAACGGGUGAGUAAUACCUAGGAAUCUGCCUAUUAGUGGGGGAUAACGGCUCGAAAGGGUCGCUAAUACCGCAUACGUCCUACGGGAGAAAGUGGGGGAUCUUCGGACCUCACGCUAAUAGAUGAGCCUAGGCCGGAUUAGCUAGUUGGUAGGGUAAAGGCCUACCAAGGCGACGAUCCGUAGCUGGUCUGAGAGGAUGAUCAGCCACACUGGAACUGAGACACGGUCCAGACUCCUACGGGAGGCAGCAGUGAGGAAUUUUGGACAAUGGGGGAAACCCUGAUCCAGCGAUGCCGCGUGUGUGAAGAAGGCC
This 374-nucleotide ribosomal RNA is filed under the name uncultured bacterium. RNAcentral describes it as "bacterial SSU rRNA". It matches the Rfam family "Bacterial small subunit ribosomal RNA", at positions 30 to 416 of the family's 1533-position model. The record is from RNAcentral.